Molecule: ribosomal RNA, 420 nt
Filed under: uncultured bacterium
Lineage: Bacteria
Description: bacterial SSU rRNA
Rfam family: Bacterial small subunit ribosomal RNA
Source: RNAcentral
AUUGAACGCUGGCGGCAGGCCUAACACAUGCAAGUCGAACGGUAGCACAGGAGAGCUUGCUCUCUGGGUGACGAGUGGCGGACGGGUGAGUAAUGCAUGGGGAGCUGCCCAAUCGAGGGGGAUACCAGCUGGAAACGGCUGCUAAUACCGCAUACGCCCUGAGGGGGAAAGGUGGGGACCUUCGGGCCUACCGCGAUUGGAUGCGCCCAUGUGGGAUUAGCUGGUUGGUGAGGUAACGGCUCACCAAGGCGACGAUCUCUAGCUGGUCUGAGAGGAUGACCAGCCACACUGGAACUGAGACACGGUCCAGACUCCCACGGGAGGCAGCAGUGGGGAAUAUUGCACAAUGGGGGAAACCCUGAUGCAGCCAUGCCGCGUGUGUGAAGAAGGCCCUGGUUGUAAGUACGACUUCUAGUGGGA